RNAcentral lists this long non-coding RNA (209 nucleotides) under Homo sapiens (human). Its description in RNAcentral is "non-protein coding lnc-PRKAR2A-1:1". The record is from RNAcentral. Lineage: Eukaryota; Metazoa; Chordata; Mammalia; Primates; Hominidae.
CUUUGCUCCAUGAGAAGGAUCCACCUACGACCUCCAGUCCUCAAACCAACCAGCCCAAGGAACAUCUCACCGAUUUUAAAUCGGGCUGAUGUGUGCAGAACAGACUGAAGGCAUCAGGGGCAGCAAGAGGAGACCAGGAGGCAGCUGUGACAUUGCACUCAAGAGAAAUGGUGGCAGUUUGGACUCAGUGAAAGCUAUGCUGACAUUCA